GGCCGACUGCAAGAGGAGACGUACAGUCCGCUAAGCUGAGGGAACGAGCGAGUGACUAGGGUUUUCUUCUUCUUUCUGCGUGAGGAAAGAGGAGAUUACAAAAAAGUGACAUGCGAGUUCAACUACAGAAGGGCAAAGCAAUGAAGGAAGUAGAGCAAAGUGAGCAAAGGUGUGAGCAAGAAGAGAAAAACGCUGAGGGAACGAGCAGGCGACUAGGGUUCUUCUUUCUAAGAGGGGAUAUUAUGAAAAAGUGAUAGGAGAGUUCAACAACAGAAGGGCAAAGCAAUGAAGGAAGUAGAGCAAAGUGAGCAAAGGUGUGAGCAAGAAGAGAAAAACGCUGAGGGAACGAGCAGGCGACUAGGGUUCUUCUUCUUUCUAAGAGGGAAGAUUAUGAAAAAGUGAUAGGAGAGUUCAACAACAGAAGUGAUUCCCACCUGGUACUUACACACGUAUACCCUGCAACAAAUAAACUCAACAUCUGACAUAACAGAAACUAGAGGGCAUAUUAUAAUAAAAGGAGAGACGUGUCUACGUAAACUACAUUGCAGCUGAAGUAAAGAGGGCCACCGAUUUUUCAAUAAAAGGAGAGACGUGUUUGUGAUGGGAAAACAGCUCUGAGAAUUCUUGUUUCCCACUAAUACUCUAUGAACUUAAAUAAAUAAACAAAUAAUAGUCCAACAGCCUUAUAACAACCAACCAAUGCCAUAUGCACUGGAAGAUCAUAUUCUUGGUAAGUCCACUACCCAGCUUUGACUUUCGAAUCAACAAUCUUUUUAGCAUAAAAAUCCAGUCAAAAGAACUAGUGAGAAUGCUUUUGGCUCAAAUCAGCUUUUAAGUUAACAUCAAACUGCAGAGUCAAUAUUAUUCCAUAAAGUAAACUUUGGAAGCUUGACAACAAAGAGCAGGAUUAGAAAUAGGAAUGCUAUGCUCAGGAUGAGUCAUGAGCUUCGCCAGAACUUCUUUACAUAAUAUAUGAAGCCAAAAAGAAGAUUCCGCAGGAAUAUUACAUGCACUAAUUUAUCAGGAAGAAGCUGCUCGUUGGUACAUAUCAUGCUCUCUCCAGAAAUGAUAAAGCACAAUUUUUGGCAAAAGGAACAUAAUCACCAAUUCCAAUAUUAGUAUUUUCAUGUGCUAUUCAGAAUCAAAAUGAGCAGGCAUUCUCCUAUAUGACAGAAUGCCUAUCCCCCUCCUUUACGAGACACUUUUUUUUUUAAUCAUAGCCUAACUAUUUCCCAUUUCAUAGAUGGAUAUCUAGGGACUCAAGUCUAUAUAAAAUUGACUGUACACAAUUGUAAUAUGUACCAGACAUAUUUUACUCGACUAAUUAUCAAAAUUGAAUCCAACAAGA
This 1348-nucleotide long non-coding RNA is filed under the name Eucalyptus grandis. RNAcentral's name for it is "long non-coding RNA (EGRA_LNC004492)". Lineage: Eukaryota; Viridiplantae; Streptophyta; Magnoliopsida; Myrtales; Myrtaceae. The record is from RNAcentral.